Molecule: ribosomal RNA, 397 nt
Filed under: uncultured bacterium
Lineage: Bacteria
Description: partial 16S ribosomal RNA
Rfam family: Bacterial small subunit ribosomal RNA
Source: RNAcentral
AUACGUAGGGGGCGAGCGUUGUCCGGAAUGAUUGGGCGUAAAGGGCGCGUAGGCGGCCCGGUAAGUCUGGAGUGAAAGUCCUGCUUUUAAGGUGGGAAUUGCUUUGGAUACUGUCGGGCUUGAGUGCAGGAGAGGUAAGUGGAAUUCCCAGUGUAGCGGUGAAAUGCGUAGAGAUUGGGAGGAACACCAGUGGCGAAGGCGACUUACUGGACUGUAACUGACGCUGAGGCGCGAAAGUGUGGGGAGCAAACAGGAUUAGAUACCCUGGUAGUCCACACUGUAAACGAUGAAUGCUAGGUGUAGGGGGUAUCGACCCCUUCUGUGCCGCAGUUAACACAAUAAGCAUUCCGCCUGGGGAGUACGGCCGCAAGAUUGAAACUCAAAGGAAUUGACGGGG